RNAcentral lists this ribosomal RNA (468 nucleotides) under uncultured bacterium. RNAcentral describes it as "partial 16S ribosomal RNA". It matches the Rfam family "Bacterial small subunit ribosomal RNA", at positions 28 to 507 of the family's 1533-position model. The record is from RNAcentral.
GACGAACGCUGGCGGCGUGCUUAACACAUGCAAGUCGAACGGAAAGGCCCUGCUUUUGUGGGGUGCUCGAGUGGCGAACGGGUGAGUAACACGUGAGUAACCUGCCCUUGACUUUGGGAUAACUUCAGGAAACUGGGGCUAAUACCGGAUAGGAGCUCCUGCUGCAUGGUGGGGGUUGGAAAGUUUCGGCGGUUGGGGAUGGACUCGCGGCUUAUCAGCUUGUUGGUGGGGUAGUGGCUUACCAAGGCUUUGACGGGUAGCCGGCCUGAGAGGGUGACCGGCCACAUUGGGACUGAGAUACGGCCCAGACUACUACGGGAGGCAGCAGGGGGGAAUAUUGCACAAGGGGCGGAAGCCGGAUGCAGCAACGCCGCGUGCGGGAGGACGGCCUUCGGGUUGUAAACCGCUUUCGCCUGUGACGAAGCGUGAGUGACGGUAAUGGGUAAAGAAGCACCGGCUAACUACGUG